This is a small nuclear RNA of Suncus etruscus (white-toothed pygmy shrew), 108 nucleotides long. NCBI's taxonomy places the organism in Eukaryota, Metazoa, Chordata, Mammalia, Eulipotyphla, Soricidae. The record is from RefSeq and is a predicted model, not a curated record.
AUGCUAGCUUUGGCAGCACAUAUACUAAAAAUGGAACGGUACAGAGAAGAUUAGCAUGGCCCCUGUACAAGAAAAAAGCAGGAAAAAAAAGAAAGAAUAAAGUACAGC